UAAACGACACUCGACAACGGAUAUCUUGGCUCUCGCAUCGAUGAAGAACGUAGCGAAAUGCAAUACUUGGUGUGAAUUGCAGAAUUCGGUGAACGAUCGAGUCUUUGAACGCAAGUUGCACUUGAAGCCAUUUGUCCUAGGGCACGCCUGCCUGGGCAUCACUC
RNAcentral lists this ribosomal RNA (164 nucleotides) under Rubus montanus. RNAcentral describes it as "5.8S ribosomal RNA". It matches the Rfam family "5.8S ribosomal RNA". From Rfam's summary of the family: 5.8S ribosomal RNA (5.8S rRNA) is a component of the large subunit of the eukaryotic ribosome. It is transcribed by RNA polymerase I as part of the 45S precursor that also contains 18S and 28S rRNA. The record is from RNAcentral. Lineage: Eukaryota; Viridiplantae; Streptophyta; Magnoliopsida; Rosales; Rosaceae.